CGGGAAAAUUACGGUUUUGGUUUUGUGGAUUUAUCGUAGGUGUUCGAUCGGUGAUAUGAAGUAUACAAUGAUGGUGGCAUCAUGGUUCUGCAGAACAAGAGAGAAGGAAGCGAACAUAUUAUGAGGUGUGUUUCGACGGUGAAGAAACAUAUGAAUUGCGACUAUGGGUUACCAACAAUGAGUGUGGUGGUGGUGGAAACGGGCUUGCGAUGAAGAGUGUUGUGGUGGUGGUUGAAAUGGGUUAGCAGCAAUGAGUUUGUAGCACAAUGGACUUUAGGCGAUGUAUUAAUAUGGCUAUUGAUGUUAAAACGUUGUUCUUUCAUUAUUGAGUUUUCACGAGUUGUUGUUCUUCAACAAACAUCCAAUUUGGAAAAAUAUACUGGCCAAUAUUUGGUGUUUCUACACUAGCAACAAUAGUUCAACCCAUGCCACAAUAACAACAAACUUUUCAAUCAUUAAGCAAGCCCUUUCUCAUGGUUGUUUCACAAGACUCAAAGUAGAGGCUAGAUCAUAAAACUUCAUUGGCAACUAAUAUAUCCCCAGAUAUCAAUUGAAUCCUUAUGAUUCUUUCCAUUGUUGUUAUUGUCAGCUUUUAAAAUAUGAGUUAUCUUGGUAACGCAUAUGGUAAGUCUUUUAUUCACUAAUCUAAGUCUGGAGGUGAUUCUUAUAUGUGUUUAUGUUUCCGUGUGAUAAUGAUUCCCAUGCUUUUUGUUGUACUAAAGUUUACAAUAACAGAUCAGGUCGCAAGGAAAGAAGGAUGAACUGGAGAACACACCUGAGGAGAUUAUUUCCAUGGUGAUGACAUUGGCUACUCCUACAUACCGUAUUGUUAUUGGAACUAUGAUUUAAAAUUUUGUAUUUUAACUGGCACAUACUAUUAUUUUGUGGGGGUUAUUAAUGGUUUUGGUGAUGAGUUAGUUAUGUGAUACAUGCAGGAAUUUAGUGAACAGUGAGAAGUGGACCCCUAUUUGAGUGCAAGUGGUUACCUUGGAGACAACACUCACCCUUUUUUGUAGCCCUGUCUAAGGAUAGGUGUAACAUUUCAAAUGAAGAGUUCCGCUGGAAGAUCUCUAACGUGGAAUAUGAGGUUAUGCAUCAUCUUCGUGACAGUGUCAAUGGAGGUUUUGAUGAAGAAAAGUUCAAUAGGGUGCCUUGAUUGAAGGGUGCCUUGAUUAAAGGUGCAGCGGGGUAAAUCAACAGUAGAAGAGCAGUCUCAAAGUGAAUCCCCAAAUCUCGAGGGAAAAGGUGAUAUACAUUUUAAUAUCAACACUGCACUAUGAUAGAACUUGGUGUAUCAUAAGCUCUCUUCCUUUCAUUGAGUUGCAGACGCAGAAAAAGCUACUUGCAAUUAUCGAAGCUACUUUCAUUUAGUUACCCUCCAAACAACCUUAACCUUCGAGAAAUGCAUUUCAGGUGCGAUUUAUCAGACUCGGUUUUAUGGUAAGAAUGUGCUUUGCUUGAAUUGUAUAGAUUUUCCAUUUCUUAUAUAAUUAAUACGUAUGGUUAAAAUUUAUUUUGUGGUUUGUUUCAACUCACAAUAAAUUCCAACUGUCAUUAAAUUUCACCUUUUCACUUUCCAAAUAAUGGCACAUUCCAAUGUAUAAUCAUUGGAUUAUGCAAUUGUCAUUAAACCUUCCCACCUCCCAAAUUAUAAAGCAUUUUUAAAACAACCAUUAUAUAUACAUGAUGGGAGUCAAUUACUUUUUCCACUCUCCUCACACAAAAUCGAAAGGGCAACAACAAGUAUAACCAAAAUGGACAAGGAACCACAACCUCCUAUCAAUGUAACUGUCAAUUGCAUCGAAGUUCCUCAUAUUCAAGAUGGAGAUGCAGUUGUUCAACCAAGGGGUCAGCCAACAGGAUUUGUUGCCUGUUGUAAGAAUGUGCGUCACAUCUUGCCUGUUGGUAGGAUUUGUUGCUAGUUUGUAGAUUUCUGUGAGGUUUUUAUGUUUUGGCUCACUUAGAUUGUUUCUUUGCUAAUUGUUUGAUGGUGUUACUAUGUUCUUUGUCUCUUUUGAGGCAAAUAAGGGGAGAAAAAGACACACUUCUCUUUGAGGAUAUUGUUGAAAUCUUUGAGGAUAUUAGUUAAACCUUUACGAGUGUACUAUUUGUGGUGCAUUUUUUAAGAGGUGUUUAAUCUAUGUUUUGCCUAAAAAAUAGUCAAAGGGAAAGUUUGUAAUUAUAGUUGAA
This is a long non-coding RNA of Vicia villosa (hairy vetch), 2190 nucleotides long. RefSeq lists it as uncharacterized. Lineage: Eukaryota; Viridiplantae; Streptophyta; Magnoliopsida; Fabales; Fabaceae. The record is from RefSeq and is a predicted model, not a curated record. The transcript has 4 exons.